Molecule: unclassified non-coding RNA, 87 nt
Filed under: Chryseobacterium joostei
Lineage: Bacteria; Pseudomonadati; Bacteroidota; Flavobacteriia; Flavobacteriales; Weeksellaceae
Description: Flavo-1 RNA
Source: RNAcentral
AAAUAGCCCCGAUAGCAACGGUUACCCCACAGCAAGAUCUGGCCAAUGCAUUGGAGCGAGGAGUAUGAGUGAAUAGCGGGAAGAAGC